Long non-coding RNA from Amphimedon queenslandica, 1393 nucleotides. RefSeq lists it as uncharacterized. The transcript has 3 exons. The record is from RefSeq and is a predicted model, not a curated record. NCBI's taxonomy places the organism in Eukaryota, Metazoa, Porifera, Demospongiae, Haplosclerida, Niphatidae.
CUCUCUCACUCCCUCUCAUUCUGUAGAUUUUAGAUACAUCAGGUUAAUUAUCACAGCUAGAGGAUGCAUGUAAUUCUAAACUGAUGGAACAAAGAGUAAGAGAAAUAAUAUAUCAGUACAGUUAGAUCAAUACCUGAAAUAAACGAAAUGUAUGAAGUCCUGGCAACAAUGGUAGUGGAACAGAAUUUAAAAGGGUUCAAUAUUGGAUAGGAUUGAUUACAAUGUUGAGAGGUCACUUCAUAAAGUCACUGAAAGUGUCAAACAACUGGAAAAGGCUGAGAACCAUCAAACGAGAUCAAUCAAGCUAAUUAUUAUAGUAUUUAGGGAUUCAUGCAGGAUUCUUUUGUAGGGGGACAUCAUUGACAAAUAUGAAUGAUAACAAUACUUAUUUUGGCAUUUUUUAUUUUUUUAUAUUGCGUUAAUCAAGCAAAAGCUGAUUUUAUCAGUGCCAGCAUAAAGAUUUAUACACAUGAUUUCAAUUGUGUGCUUUUCUUGUAAUGAACAAUAUGAAUUACAGCAAGUAUGAGCAUUUUCAUUAAAGUUACCCAGACUAUUUUAGGGGGGAACUAAAGUUUGGGCCAGGUUUCCUAUCCCCUAUGUAUGAAUCCAUGGUAUUUAUUUAAUAGUGAUAAUAGUUAGGGCUGUGUUGCUUUUAUUGUUGUUAAAGUUGUAAAAGAAUAAUUUAAUAUACUAACAAAAUUAAUUAAUGUAAACACACAUUGUAUUGCAUAUUAUUAUGCAUUUCACUAUUGUGUAGUUUAUUUAAUGCUGCUACAUAAGUAAUUAUAAUUAAAAUGAAUUACCAUAUUUGGAGCUACGCAAUAUCCACUAUUGGUAGGGGUUUGUGUGGUUGAUUAUUUCUGAAUGUCUUCUUUUGAUCUUCAAGAGUAUCCUCCAGGAGAGAAGGAAUGUAUCCUGUAUAAAUACCAACAUAUUCCAGCGAUGGGUGGAUGAAAAUAGUUUCAUAUAAAUGUUGUACAAGUUCUAUCCAGUUAGGUUGCGAUGACUCUUUAUUAAUAGGUACACACACUAUCCUCAGUAGUCUGAUGGUUGUAUGUGACUGUAACAUGUUCAUAACAGCAGGUAGUACCUGUUCAUAAAACAAUGGCGUCAUUAUUUGUUUCCUCUUUUCUCUACUACAGUUACUGUAUGACUGAUCUGGUGUGAAGUUCAAUUCCAGUUCUGUUAGAUUUUUCUUUUUAAAGAUGAAAUUAAUAAAAGUUCUUAUAUCGUCAUUCACUUCAUUCAGUUGAAUAGAUACACUCAACUGCUGUAGACUGGUAUUGUGUCUGAGACCAGUUGUUAGAAAGGACAGAAAUGAACUAAACCUGAAAUCAUAAAACUCAAGGUAUUUCAGUGUUUGGUUUUGUGUUAGCAUGUCUUGUAGACUAGC